Molecule: ribosomal RNA, 253 nt
Filed under: uncultured bacterium
Lineage: Bacteria
Description: partial 16S ribosomal RNA
Rfam family: Bacterial small subunit ribosomal RNA
Source: RNAcentral
UACAGAGGAUGCAAGCGUUAUCCGGAAUGAUUGGGCGUAAAGCGUCUGUAGGUGGCUUUUUAAGUCCGCCGUCAAAUCCCAGGGCUCAACUCUGGACAGGCGGUGGAAACUACCAAGCUGGAGUACGGUAGGGGCAGAGGGAAUUUCCGGUGGAGCGGUGAAAUGCGUAGAGAUGUGGAGGAACACCGAUGGCGAAGGCAGCCUCCUGGGCCAGCACUGACGCUCAUGCACGAAAGCGUGGGGAGCGAUCCGG